CCUACGGGAGGCUGCAGUGAGGAAUAUUGGUCAAUGGACGAGAGUCUGAACCAGCCAAGUAGCGUGAAGGAUGACUGCCCUAUGGGUUGUAAACUUCUUUUAUAUGGGAAUAAAACGUUCCACGUGUGGGAUUUUGUAUGUACCAUAUGAAUAAGGAUCGGCUAACUCCGUGCCAGCAGCCGCGGUAAUACGGAGGAUCCGAGCGUUAUCCGGAUUUAUUGGGUUUAAAGGGAGCGUAGGUGGAUUGUUAAGUCAGUUGUGAAAGUUUGCGGCUCAACCGUAAAAUUGCAGUUGAAACUGGCAGUCUUGAGUGCAGUAGAGGUGGGCGGAAUUCGUGGUGUAGCGGUGAAAUGCUUAGAUAUCACGAAGAACUCCGAUUGCGAAGGCAGUUCACUGGACUGCAACUGACACUGAGGCUCGAAAGUGUGGGUAUCAAACAGGAUUAGAUACCCUUGUAGUC
RNAcentral lists this ribosomal RNA (460 nucleotides) under uncultured bacterium. RNAcentral's name for it is "partial 16S ribosomal RNA". It matches the Rfam family "Bacterial small subunit ribosomal RNA", at positions 338 to 795 of the family's 1533-position model. The record is from RNAcentral.